Clostridiales bacterium GWF2_38_85 is the source of this 98-nucleotide non-coding RNA. NCBI's taxonomy places the organism in Bacteria, Bacillati, Bacillota, Clostridia, Eubacteriales. The record is from Rfam.
AUAAUGAUACUCCUAUCCAGCCACAGUCCGAGCGUGAUAAAACCGUCGCAGGCAAUGGGGAUAGCUUGCCGCAAGGGCAAGGGGUGAAACUCCCGUGA